ACGACGCUGGCGGCGUGCCUAACACAUGCAAGUCGAACGGAGUAAGACGCUGAAUGAUAGCUUCGGCAGGAUUUCUUGUCUUACUUAGUGGCGGACGGGUGAGUAACGCGUGAGCAACCUGCCCUUGAGUGGGGAAUAACGUUCUGAAAAGAACGCUAAUACCGCAUAACAUAUCGGUAUCGCAUGGUACUGAUAUCAAAGAUUUAUCGCUCAGGGAGGAGCUCGCGUCCUAUUAGUUAGUUGGCGGGGUAACGGCCCACCAAGGCGAUGACGGGUAGCCGGUCUGAGAGGAUGUCCGGCCACACUGGAACUGAGACACGGUCCAGACACCUACGGGUGGCAGCAGUCGAGAAUCAUUCACAAUGGGCGAAAGCCUGAUGGUGCGACGCCGCGUGGGGGAAGAAGGUCUUCGGAUUGUAAACCCCUGUCAUGUAGGAGCAAGACGCAAGUUUGAUAGUACUACAAGAGGAAGAGACGGCAAACUCUGUG
RNAcentral lists this ribosomal RNA (489 nucleotides) under uncultured bacterium. RNAcentral's name for it is "bacterial SSU rRNA". It matches the Rfam family "Bacterial small subunit ribosomal RNA", at positions 32 to 507 of the family's 1533-position model. The record is from RNAcentral.